This 449-nucleotide ribosomal RNA is filed under the name uncultured bacterium. RNAcentral describes it as "partial 16S ribosomal RNA". It matches the Rfam family "Bacterial small subunit ribosomal RNA", at positions 29 to 523 of the family's 1533-position model. The record is from RNAcentral.
AACGAACGCUGGCGGCAUGCCUAACACAUGCAAGUCGAACGAGAUCUUCGGGUCUAGUGGCGCACGGGUGCGUAACGCGUGGGAAUCUGCCCUUUGGUUCGGAAUAACAGUUGGAAACGACUGCUAAUACCGGAUGAUGACGGAAGUCCAAAGAUUUAUCGCCAGAGGAUGAGCCCGCGUAGGAUUAGCUAGUUGGUGUGGUAAAGGCGCACCAAGGCGACGAUCCUUAGCUGGUCUGAGAGGAUGAUCAGCCACACUGGGACUGAGACACGGCCCAGACUCCUACGGGAGGCAGCAGUGGGGAAUAUUGGACAAUGGGCGAAAGCCUGAUCCAGCAAUGCCGCGUGAGUGAUGAUGGCCUUAGGGUUGUAAAGCUCUUUUACCCGAGAUGAUAAUGACAGUAUCGGGAGAAUAAGCUCCGGCUAACUCCGUGCCAGCCGCCGCCGUAA